GGCUUCUCGAAGGGAGGGGAAUGCCCCUCUUAGAACUCUAGAUCAAGCUGGACUUUUUCUGUGGAGCAGGAGACUUAUGAUUCCAGAUCCCUGGACAAAGCUUCCAGGGCAUGGUCAUGUCUGACUCACAGGAACCCGGUGAAGGGCAGGGCUGCUAUCUGCGGUCCUCCUGCCUCAUAGCUGAGCCUGGGUGUUCAGAGGCUGGCUGGUGAACGAGUCACCUCAGCCAGCCUGUAGUGCGGCUAGCACCAGCAGCAACCUAAGAGCAGCCGAGCUUUGAUUUUUUUUCCCCAGGUGUGAGUAGGAUAAAUUUCAGAAGUGAAAUCACUAUGUCAAAGGCCCCCCGGUACAUAGUUGUAUAUUCUUCAUUGUGGGUCCUUCUAGUUGUGGCAUGUGGGACGCUGCUCAGUGUGGUUUGAUGAGCAGUGCCAUGUCCGCGCCCAGGAUUCGAACCAACAAAACACUGGGCCGCCUGCAGCGGAGCACGCGAACUUAACCACUCGGCCACGGGGCCAGCCCUUCGCCCACUUUUUAGAAGCAAAAUUCAUGCUUUCCUGUCCUAAAGGUAGAAGUUUGUUCUACUUCUUCGAACUUGGGAGAUUCGAGUAAACUUCAGCCUUGCCAGAAACAUCCUUCCUCUGGAAAACUCCAGUAGGCCCUCCCUGCUCACCUUCCUCCAUCUACCUCUCUGCUGCAAGAAGUGUAUGUUUGGCUCCUGCACAAGAAAAUGCACUGGCGUUUUUUUACCAGGGAGUGUCUAGUAAUUUCUAAGUGAGUUUCUGAAACCUCCAAGCUAGACUUUUUUUUUUCCUUAAGCAAAUAAAGCCUGAGAGGUGAAGCAUCUUCAAAGAGUUGUGUGCACUCAGCAACUUUGGUGUGUUAGUUUGUCUUUCAAUCUGCCUUACUCAGGGUACUUAUCUCUUAGAAAGGGAGAUUAUUACCCCCAGACUGGGUUGGAAACCGCUUCGCUGACAGGUUUAAGAGUCUUAACAAUUUAUUUACAGCAGAAAAGGCAAAACUGUGCAAAAUGGCAGACUUCAUUCUCCCUGCAAGGGUCAGCUGGGUGGGGAGGGAAGUGGAAUCAAAAUGGGGAACCUCUCAACUGUGCUCAGAAAGGUUGGGCUUCCUGUGGGAGGGAGGUUGGGGUAGGGGUGAACAUUGGCAUUUCCUCCUGAGCAACCAGUUAUCUCCUUGAAUAGAGACAACUGCUAAACUGACAAGCCCUUCACCGGUAACCGUUGAUCUGGCUUAUGACUCAAGACUUAAAAGAACCCUAGAGUUGUCGCAAUUACUCUUCCUGUUUCUCACACCCAGAAAGCUAGACCAAUAAUAGAAUCACGCCGUUGAGUUUCUCCUGACCUUGCUUUUGGUACCCAGUUGAAGAGUCUUUUCCUUGGACGUGGCAGAAUCUGAACUAUGACUAAUACAUACAGAUUUGCAAGAAGAGGACAAGAGAGUGUGUUUAUGUUUCUCUCUCCCUAGCAGCUCCUCCUAGUCUAAUAUAGGGAAGAUACUAGGAGCUCCAUAAAUGUUUGUCAUAUGAUUGAAUGAAUAAAUGGACAAAUACAUUUUCUGUCUCGUUUUAACAGUACUCUGGAGUAUUGGGAGGUGAAAAUACUUCCACAUAUAAAUUUAUUCCUCCUGUUUCUAAUACUGGUAGCAAUAUUUCAAGCUAAUUUAUAACAAAGGAGCAAGUUAGAAU
This is a long non-coding RNA of Equus caballus (horse), 1702 nucleotides long. Lineage: Eukaryota; Metazoa; Chordata; Mammalia; Perissodactyla; Equidae. The record is from Ensembl.